AUACGUAGGUGGCGAGCGUUGUCCGGAUUUACUGGGCGUAAAGAGUGCGUAGGCGGAUGUUUAAGUGAGAUGUGAAAUACCCGAGCUCAACUUGGGUGCUGCAUUUCAAACUGGGCAUCUAGAGUGCAGGAGAGGAAAGCGGAAUUCCUAGUGUAGCGGUGAAAUGCGUAGAGAUUAGGAAGAACACCAGUGGCGAAGGCGGCUUUCUGGACUGUAACUGACGCUGAGGCACGAAAGCGUGGGGAGCAAACAGGAUUAGAUCCCCUGGUAGUCCACGCCGUAAACGAUGGGUACUAGGUGUCGGGGGUCCAACCUCGGUGCCGCAGUAAACACAUUAAGUACCCCGCCUGGGGAGUACGGUCGCAAGAUUAAAACUCAAAUGAAUUGACGGGG
RNAcentral lists this ribosomal RNA (393 nucleotides) under uncultured bacterium. Its description in RNAcentral is "partial 16S ribosomal RNA". It matches the Rfam family "Bacterial small subunit ribosomal RNA", at positions 523 to 918 of the family's 1533-position model. The record is from RNAcentral.